AAGUCGUAACAAGGUUUCCGUAGGUGAACCUGCGGAAGGAUCAUUCCUAAAAAAUUAAUUAAUCCGUGCUAACUGUACCAACUGGCAAACUGCAUUGCAUUUGUCAAAAUUUUUAUUUUAGCUAUAUUGAUUAACGUAAAUAAUAAUAUUUUCAGCAAAGGAUCUCUUAGCUUUUGAUUUGAUGAAGAACAUGGCUAAAUGUGAUAAUUCAUGAAAAUUGCUGUAAUUUGGGAAUCAUGAAAUCGUUGAAUGCACCUUGCACUACUUUUGUAGUACAUUAGUUUCUGUGUUUAUUAAACCUUCCAUUUAUUGGAUAUUUGAGGAUUUAUUUUAAUUCCUUUCAAGAAAUUCAUUGCCACGACUUGACAAUUGAAACCAGAAACUAAUGAAAUAACCUGCUGAACUUAAGCAUAUCAAUAAGCAGAGGAAAAGAAAUUAACAAAGAUUCUUUCAGUAAUGGCGAAUGAAGAAAGAAAAGCCCAGUCUUUAAAUCAGGCUUGCCUGAAUUGCAAAGUGUAGAACCUCAAAUUUAACGUCAUAACUAAAUCUUUUGGAAUAAAGUGCAAAAUAUGGUGAUAGCCCAUUAUUAAGACUGCGAUUGAGUGUUCUCUGAGUCAAGUUGUUUGGGAAUGCAACUUUAACAGGUGGUAUACCUCAUCUAAGGCUAAAUAUCAUCAAAAGACUGAUAGCAUACAAGUACCUUGAGGGCAAGAUGAAAAGAACUUUGAAAAGAGAGUUCAACAGUGUGUGAAAUUGUUGGAAAGGAAACGUUUGAUUAUCCUAUAAUUGUCUGUGCAAGAUAUGUUUACAUGUUUGUUCUCAGACUUGAAUGCUGAAAUUUCUUGGGGAUGCUAAAACCGUUUUUGUCUCUGGUAUGUAUUUACUGUGCAAAAAUUUUGUUUUCCCCUUGAUGUUUUCAAUGCCGCUAUAAGAUUUAUCUCUGCGGCAAAUUCAGCAAUACAUAAUUAAAUGACC
This 975-nucleotide ribosomal RNA is filed under the name uncultured fungus. RNAcentral describes it as "eukaryotic LSU rRNA". The stretch from base 372 to 975 matches the Rfam family "Eukaryotic large subunit ribosomal RNA", at positions 1 to 649 of the family's 3401-position model. The record is from RNAcentral. Lineage: Eukaryota; Fungi.